This 379-nucleotide unclassified non-coding RNA is filed under the name uncultured bacterium. Its description in RNAcentral is "contains 16S-23S intergenic spacer region". The record is from RNAcentral.
UCCAACUUAUCGCUGGCGGUCUCCUGCGAGUUGCGCCUUUCGGCAUGCCAACACAGGACGAGGGUUGCGCUCGUUGCGGGACUUAACCCAACAUCUCACGACACGAGCUGACGACAGCCAUGCAGCACCUCGACUCCAGUCCCUUGCGGGAAGGCCGUGUUUCCACAGCUGAUCCGAAGCCGUUCGAGCCCAGGUAAGGUUCUUCGCGUUGCGUCGAAUUAAACCACAUGCUCCACCGCUUGUGCGGGCCCCCGUCAAUUCCUUUGAGUUUCAACCUUGCGGUCGUACUCCCCAGGCGGGGUACUUCCUGCGUUAGCGCCGGCACCCAGAGGGUCGCUCCCCCAGGCACCUAGUACCCAUCGUUUACGGCGUGGACUAC